RNAcentral lists this ribosomal RNA (393 nucleotides) under uncultured bacterium. RNAcentral's name for it is "partial 16S ribosomal RNA". It matches the Rfam family "Bacterial small subunit ribosomal RNA", at positions 523 to 918 of the family's 1533-position model. The record is from RNAcentral.
AUACGGAAGGUCCGGGCGUUAUCCGGAUUUAUUGGGUUUAAAGGGAGCGCAGGCGGAGAUGCAAGCGUGACGUCAAAUUUCGGGGCUCAACCCCGUCUCGCGUCGCGAACUGCGUCCCUUGGUUGCGGGAAGGGGAGGCGGAACUCGUGGUGUAGCGGUGAAAUGCAUAGAUAUCACGAAGAACUCCGAUCGCGAAGGCAGCCUUCCGGCCCGUCAACGACGCUCAUGCUCGAAGGUGCGGGUAUCAAACAGGAUUAGAUACCCUGGUAGUCCGCACAGUAAACGAUGGACACCCGCGGUUUGGCCUGCAUGGCUGAGCCGCCAAGCGAAAGCGUUAAGUGUCCCACCUGGGGAGUACGCCGGCAACGGUGAAACUUAAAGGAAUUGGCGGGG